GCCUAUUUCCGAUUUUUGAAUAAUGUUUGGACAAGACUCUAUGUUUAUAUACAGGUAAAAUUUCAUUGAGCACUCAACUCCAAAGCUUCAAUGCUUCUAGUUUUCUUGCCAAUAAGCUUUGUGGACUUCCACUUACAAAGAAUUGCAAUGUUGAUGGCGAAACACCUAAUGUGGGAAAGGAAAGAGAUAAUGAAGGUGCUGGAUCUGAAGUGGAUUGGUUUUAUUUGUCUAUGGCUUUUGGAUUUGCGGUAGGUUUUUGGGGCAUCUCUAUUCCUAUAUUGUUCAUUAAGUUAUGGAGAUAUGCCUGUUUUUGAUUUCUGGAUAAUGCCUGGACAAUACUUUAUGUUUAUAUACAGAUAAAUGUGAUGAGAUUUUAAAAGUCAUGUGGAAGUCUCCUACUUGUGUCUCCUUAAUACUAUAAAUAAAUGUAUCUUUCGUGUGAUAAAUUCUGUUAUGUUUAAAUUUCUCAUGA
This is a non-coding RNA of Camellia sinensis, 472 nucleotides long. The record is from RefSeq and is a predicted model, not a curated record. NCBI's taxonomy places the organism in Eukaryota, Viridiplantae, Streptophyta, Magnoliopsida, Ericales, Theaceae.